CCUACGGGAUGCAGCAGUGAGGAAUAUUGGUCAAUGGGCGUAAGCCUGAACCAGCCAAGUCGCGUGAGGGAUGAAGGUUCUAUGGAUCGUAAACCUCUUUUAUAAGGGAAUAAAGUGUGGUACGUGUCCUAUUUUGUAUGUACCUUAUGAAUAAGGAUCGGCUAACUCCGUGCCAGCAGCCGCGGUAAUACGGAGGAUCCGAGCGUUAUCCGGAUUUAUUGGGUUUAAAGGGUGCGUAGGCGGCCUUUUAAGUCAGCGUUGGAAGUCUGUGGCUCAACCAUAGAAUUGCCGUUGAAAAUGGGGGGCUUGGGGAUGUUUGGGGCAGGGGGGAAGCGUGGUGGAGGGGUGAA
This 350-nucleotide ribosomal RNA is filed under the name uncultured bacterium. RNAcentral's name for it is "partial 16S ribosomal RNA". It matches the Rfam family "Bacterial small subunit ribosomal RNA", at positions 338 to 685 of the family's 1533-position model. The record is from RNAcentral.